UACGAAGGGGGCUAGCGUUGCUCGGAAUUACUGGGCGUAAAGCGCACGUAGGCGGCUCUUUAAGUCGGGGGUGAAAUCCUGGAGCUCAACUCCAGAACUGCCUUCGAAACUGAGGAGCUCGAGUCCGGGAGAGGUGAGUGGAACUGCGAGUGUAGAGGUGAAAUUCGUAGAUAUUCGCAAGAACACCAGUGGCGAAGGCGGCUCACUGGCCCGGUACUGACGCUGAGGUGCGAAAGCGUGGGGAGCAAACAGG
Molecule: ribosomal RNA, 253 nt
Filed under: uncultured bacterium
Lineage: Bacteria
Also listed under: 1 other name
Description: partial 16S ribosomal RNA
Rfam family: Bacterial small subunit ribosomal RNA
Source: RNAcentral